AAGCAUAUCAAUAAGCGGAGGAAAAGAAACCAACAGGGAUUACCUCAGUAACGGCGAGUGAAGCGGUAACAGCUCAAAUUUGAAAUCUGGGUCUUUCAGGCUCCGAGUUGUAAUUUGUAGAAGAUGCUUUGGGUGCGGUCCCGGUCUAAGUUCCUUGGAACAGGACGUCAUAGAGGGUGAGAAUCCCGUAUGUGAUCGGUGGCUUGCGCCCGUGUAAAGCUCUUUCGACGAGUCGGGUUGUUUGGGAAUGCAGCUCUAAAUGGGUGGUAAAUUUCAUCUAAAGCUAAAUAUUGGCCAGAGACCGAUAGCGCACAAGUAGAGUGAUCGAAAGAUGAAAAGCACUUUGGAAAGAGAGUUAAACAGUACGUGAAAUUGUUGAAAGGGAAGCGCUUGCAACCAGACUUGCGCGGGGUUGAUCAUCCGGGGUUCUCCCCGGUGCACUCGGCCUCGCUCAGGCCAGCAUCGGUUUCGGUGGUUGGAUAAAGGCCUUGGGAAUGUGACUUCUUUCGGGGAGUGUUAUAGCCCUCGGUGCAAUGCAGCCUACCGGGACCGAGGACCGCGCUUCGGCUAGGAUGCUGGCGUAAUGGUUGUAAGCGAC
RNAcentral lists this ribosomal RNA (598 nucleotides) under Pezicula sp. RNAcentral's name for it is "eukaryotic LSU rRNA". It matches the Rfam family "Eukaryotic large subunit ribosomal RNA", at positions 36 to 648 of the family's 3401-position model. Lineage: Eukaryota; Fungi; Ascomycota; Leotiomycetes; Helotiales; Dermateaceae. The record is from RNAcentral.